UGGGGACUAUUGGACAAUGGGCGCAAGCCUGAUCCAGCCAUGCCUCGUGAGUGAUGAAGGCCUUCGGGUUGUAAAACUCUUUCGACGGGGACGAUAAUGACGGUACCCGUAGAAGAAGCUCCGGCUAACUUCGUGCCAGCAGCCGCGGUAAUACGAAGGGGGCUAGCGUGGUUCGGAAUUACUGGGCGUAAAGCGCGCGCAGGCGGCUAUCCAAGUCAGUGGUGAAAGCCCGGAGCUCAACUCCGGAACGGCCAUUGAAACUGUUUAGCUUGAGGAGGAGAGAGGUGAGUGGAAUUCCCAGUGUAGAGGUGAAAUUCGUAGAUAUUGGGAAGAACACCAGUGCGAAGGCGGCUCACUGGCUCGUAUCUGACGCUCAGGCGCGAUAGCGUGGGGAUCAAACA
RNAcentral lists this ribosomal RNA (401 nucleotides) under uncultured bacterium. Its description in RNAcentral is "bacterial SSU rRNA". It matches the Rfam family "Bacterial small subunit ribosomal RNA", at positions 355 to 774 of the family's 1533-position model. The record is from RNAcentral.